GACGAACGCUGGCGGCGUGCCUAAUACAUGCAAGUAGAACGCACAGUUUAUACCGUAGCUUGCUACACCAUAAACUGUGAGUUGCGAACGGGUGAGUAACGCGUAGGUAACCUGCCUGGUAGCGGGGGAUAACUAUUGGAAACGAUAGCUAAUACCGCAUAAUAUUGAUUAUUGCAUGAUAAUUGAUUGAAAGAUGCUAUUGCAUCACUACCAGAUGGACCUGCGUUGUAUUAGCCGGUAGGUGAGGUAACGGCUCACCUAGGCGACGAUACAUAGCCGACCUGAGAGGGUGAUCGGCCACACUGGGACUGAGACACGGCCCAGACUCCUACGGGAGGCAGCAGUAGGGAAUCUUCGGCAAUGGACGAAAGUCUGACCGAGCAACGCCGCGUGAGUGAAGAAGGUUUUCGGAUCGUAAAGCUCUGUUGUAAGAGAAGAACGGGUGUGAGAGGGAAAGUUCACACUGGACG
This 470-nucleotide ribosomal RNA is filed under the name Streptococcus gordonii. Its description in RNAcentral is "bacterial SSU rRNA". It matches the Rfam family "Bacterial small subunit ribosomal RNA", at positions 28 to 474 of the family's 1533-position model. Lineage: Bacteria; Bacillati; Bacillota; Bacilli; Lactobacillales; Streptococcaceae. The record is from RNAcentral.